Molecule: ribosomal RNA, 1411 nt
Filed under: Salmonella enterica
Lineage: Bacteria; Pseudomonadati; Pseudomonadota; Gammaproteobacteria; Enterobacterales; Enterobacteriaceae
Also listed under: 1 other name
Description: partial 23S ribosomal RNA
Rfam family: Bacterial large subunit ribosomal RNA
Source: RNAcentral
AGACCCGAAACCCGGUGAUCUAGCCAUGGGCAGGUUGAAGGUUGGGUAACACUAACUGGAGGACCGAACCGACUAAUGUUGAAAAAUUAGCGGAUGACCUGUGGCUGGGGGUGAAAGGCCAAUCAAACCGGGAGAUAGCUGGUUCUCCCCGAAAGCUAUUUAGGUAGCGCCUCGUGAAUUCAUCUCCGGGGGUAGAGCACUGUUUCGGCUAGGGGGCCAUCCCGGCUUACCAACCCGAUGCAAACUGCGAAUACCGGAGAAUGUUAUCACGGGAGACACACGGCGGGUGCUAACGUCCGUCGUGAAGAGGGAAACAACCCAGACCGCCAGCUAAGGUCCCAAAGUCAUGGUUAAGUGGGAAACGAUGUGGGAAGGCCCAGACAGCCAGGAUGUUGGCUUAGAAGCAGCCAUCAUUUAAAGAAAGCGUAAUAGCUCACUGGUCGAGUCGGCCUGCGCGGAAGAUGUAACGGGGCUAAACCAUGCACCGAAGCUGCGGCAGCGACGCUUAUGCGUUGCUGGGUAGGGGAGCGUUCUGUAAGCCUGCGAAGGUGGCCUGUGAGGGUUGCUGGAGGUAUCAGAAGUGCGAAUGCUGACAUAAGUAACGAUAAAGCGGGUGAAAAGCCCGCUCGCCGGAAGACCAAGGGUUCCUGUCCAACGUUAAUCGGGGCAGGGUGAGUCGACCCCUAAGGCGAGGCCGAAAGGCGUAGUCGAUGGGAAACGGGUUAAUAUUCCCGUACUUGGUGUUACUGCGAAGGGGGGACGGAGAAGGCUAUGUUGGCCGGGCGACGGUUGUCCCGGUUUAAGCGUGUAGGUGUGUGUUCCAGGUAAAUCCGGUUCACUUUAACACUGAGGCGUGACGACGAGGCACUACGGUGCUGAAGCAACAAAUGCCCUGCUUCCAGGAAAAGCCUCUAAGCAUCAGGUAACAUCAAAUCGUACCCCAAACCGACACAGGUGGUCAGGUAGAGAAUACCAAGGCGCUUGAGAGAACUCGGGUGAAGGAACUAGGCAAAAUGGUGCCGUAACUUCGGGAGAAGGCACGCUGACACGUAGGUGAAGUGAUUUACUCAUGGAGCUGAAGUCAGUCGAAGAUACCAGCUGGCUGCAACUGUUUAUUAAAAACACAGCACUGUGCAAACACGAAAGUGGACGUAUACGGUGUGACGCCUGCCCGGUGCCGGAAGGUUAAUUGAUGGGGUCAGCGCAAGCGAAGCUCCUGAUCGAAGCCCCGGUAAACGGCGGCCGUAACUAUAACGGUCCUAAGGUAGCGAAAUUCCUUGUCGGGUAAGUUCCGACCUGCACGAAUGGCGUAAUGAUGGCCAGGCUGUCUCCACCCGAGACUCAGUGAAAUUGAACUCGCUGUGAAGAUGCAGUGUACCCGCGGCAAGACGGAAAGACCCCGUGAACCUUU